AAGAAGACCUAUAUUUCAAGCUA
RNAcentral lists this non-coding RNA (23 nucleotides) under Arabidopsis thaliana (thale cress). The record is from RNAcentral. Lineage: Eukaryota; Viridiplantae; Streptophyta; Magnoliopsida; Brassicales; Brassicaceae.